CCCUUAUAUGUCCUGGGCUGCACGCGUGCUACACUGAUACAUACAACAAGUACCUAAUCUGAUAAGGGUAAGGCAACCUUUAAUAUGUAUCGUGAUGGGGAUAGAACUUUGCAAUUAUAGUUCUUGAACGAGGAAUUCCUAGUAAGUGCAAGUCAUCAUCUUGCAUUGAUUAUGUCCCUGCCCUUUGUACACACCGCCCGUCGCUCCUACCGAUACCGGGUGAUCCGGUGAACCUUUUGGACCGUUCGCGGAAAUAAACGUAAACCAUAUCACCUAGAGGAAGGAGAAGUCGUAACA
Molecule: ribosomal RNA, 297 nt
Filed under: uncultured eukaryote
Lineage: Eukaryota
Description: partial 18S ribosomal RNA
Rfam family: Eukaryotic small subunit ribosomal RNA
Source: RNAcentral